This 465-nucleotide ribosomal RNA is filed under the name uncultured bacterium. RNAcentral's name for it is "partial 16S ribosomal RNA". It matches the Rfam family "Bacterial small subunit ribosomal RNA", at positions 28 to 507 of the family's 1533-position model. The record is from RNAcentral.
GACGAACGCUGGCGGCGUGCUUAACACAUGCAAGUCGAACGGAAAGGCCCUGCUUGCAGGGUACUCGAGUGGCGAACGGGUGAGUAACACGUGGGUGAUCUGCCCUGCACUUCGGGAUAAGCCUGGGAAACUGGGUCUAAUACCGGAUAGGAGCCAUUUUUAGUGUGAUGGUUGGAAAGUUUUUUCGGUGUAGGAUGAGCUCGCGGCCUAUCAGCUUGUUGGUGGGGUAAUGGCCUACCAAGGCGGCGACGGGUAGCCGGCCUGUGAGGGUGGACGGCCACCUUGGGACUGAGAUACGGCCCAGACUCCUACGGGAGGGAGCAGUGGGGAAUAUUGAACAAUGGGCGCCAGCCUGAUGCAGCGACGCCGCGUGGGGGAUGACGGCCUUCGGGUUGUAAACUCCUUUCGCUAGGGACGAAGCUUUUUGUGACGGUACCUAGAUAAGAAGCACCGGCUAACUACGUG